Molecule: long non-coding RNA, 375 nt
Filed under: Homo sapiens (human)
Lineage: Eukaryota; Metazoa; Chordata; Mammalia; Primates; Hominidae
Description: HSALNT0326865
Source: RNAcentral
GGAAGCGCGACACGCACACGCCGUCGCGACGCCACGAUGCCAUCUAGGGCCCGCCGCUCCUUGUAUGGGCACAAGAGAAAGUUUGCAAGUUCCCUGAAGGACAGAUACGGAAGAUUAUAAAACCAGCUUCUAGUUUGUCUCCAUGUGGAAGUUCAGCCUUCUGGCCUCUCCCGCACCUCUUCAGUAUCUAUCCUCCUACCGAGCACCCAUCUGAUGGAUCUCUCCCCACUGCAACCCACCCUCCUCUCCAGGACCACUUUUUCUUGCCUGUAAUUCUGGCCUUAGGAAUGCCCAGAGGAGAUCUGUACCCAAAAAGUAUGUUUGAGCAAAGCUAAGUCUCCAGAAUAAAGAUAAUCCCAAUUUACAAGUCAGCCA